Molecule: ribosomal RNA, 433 nt
Filed under: uncultured bacterium
Lineage: Bacteria
Description: partial 16S ribosomal RNA
Rfam family: Bacterial small subunit ribosomal RNA
Source: RNAcentral
AGCGAACGCUGGCGGCAGGCCUAACACAUGCAAGUCGAACGAACUCUUCGGAGUUAGUGGCGGACGGGUGAGUAACACGUGGGAACGUGCCUUUUGGUUCGGAAUAACUCAGGGAAACUUGUGCUAAUACCGAAUGUGCCCUUCGGGGGAAAGAUUUAUCGCCAUUAGAGCGGCCCGCGUCUGAUUAGCUAGUUGGUGAGGUAACGGCUCACCAAGGCGACGAUCAGUAGCUGGUCUGAGAGGAUGACCAGCCACACUGGGACUGAGACACGGCCCAGACUCGUACGGGAGGCAGCAGUGGGGAAUCUUGCGCAAUGGGCGAAAGCCUGACGCAGCCAUGCCGCGUGAAUGAUGAAGGUCUUAGGAUUGUAAAAUUCUUUCACCGGGGACGAUAAUGACGGUACCCGGAGAAGAAGCCCCGGCUAACUUCGUG